AACGAACGCUGGCGGCAUGCUUAACACAUGCAAGUCGAACGGGACCUUCGGGUCUAUUUGCGCUCGGGUGCGUAACGCGUGGGAACCUGCCCUUAGGUUCGGAAUAACUCCCCGUAAGGGGUGCUAAUACCGGAUAAUGUCUUCCUACCAAAGAUUUCCCGCUUUUGGAUGGGUCCGCGUUGGAUUAGCUAGUUGGUAGGGUAAAAGCCUACCAAGGCGACGAUCCAUAGCUGGUCUGAGAGGAUGAUCAGCCACACUGGGACUGAGACACGGCCCAGACUCGUACGGGAAGGAGCAGUAGGGAAUAUUGGACAAGGGGCGAAAGCCUGAUACAGCAAUGCCGCGUGAGUGAUGAAGGGCUUAGGAUUGUAAAGCUCUUUUACCCGGGAUGAUAAUGACAGUACCGGGAGAAUAAGCUCCGGCUAACUCCGUG
Molecule: ribosomal RNA, 433 nt
Filed under: uncultured bacterium
Lineage: Bacteria
Description: partial 16S ribosomal RNA
Rfam family: Bacterial small subunit ribosomal RNA
Source: RNAcentral